UACACAGCCUGGAUCCUUAAUUUUAACAACUUUAUUGAACAACACAUAUAUUACUUAUUUAUUUAUUAUGAUUUUAACUUCAUGUUUUACGCACUUUGGCUAUAUCCAUGACAGGACAGGUAGUUAGUUACUGGUUACACAAGAUUCAUCAGUUCAAGUUUAAUGUCAAACACAGUCAUGGACACUUUGUAUCAGUUCACCUCACUCGCACGUCUUUGGACUGUGGGAGGAAACCGGAGCUUCCAGAGGAAACCCACGAAGACACGGGGAGAACAUGCAAACAGGUGGGCUUACCGUUUAGUACAGUGGGUUAAGUGUCAGGACGUUACAGACGAGACUAGACGAGACGGACCGGCAUGGCGUGGGUUCGAAACUCACGAGCGCCAACUACCGUUUAGCGGUGGUGUGUCCAAAGAAGACUAAGAGAGUCCUGAUAUCUGUACUUACGGAUUUAAUAGUACUAACGUGCCCUGACUCACGCAGCUCUGCGAGCCAACUCUUCAGAUCAUCAAGGCUGGAUUUAAGCCGGGUCUCCUCAAGGCUAACAUUCAGCCGACACUUGCUAUGAAAGAUGUAAAGGGGAUCCACUGUCUCCAACUUAAUCUUCAUGCUCAGCUGCUGCAGCACCCACAGGAAGUUAAUCAUGAAGCCGUCUGUGGACACUAGCUUAUCAUCUGUCUGUAGCCAAAACAAGGAAAAGUGAUUUGUAAUUGAGUAAACUCUUGCUGUUCCUUUAAUAAGAUGUAAACAAAUUUCACAAAUUAAAAACGGUGUAAAAGGACCCACAAUUCA
Trichomycterus rosablanca is the source of this 792-nucleotide long non-coding RNA. RefSeq lists it as uncharacterized. The record is from RefSeq and is a predicted model, not a curated record. The transcript has 2 exons. NCBI's taxonomy places the organism in Eukaryota, Metazoa, Chordata, Actinopteri, Siluriformes, Trichomycteridae.